UUUAGGAAUUUUAAAGCCAGUUGGAGUGAAAAUGUCCUCAUCUUCUCUGGGACAGGAAAUCCUUUUUACCUACAUAGAAAAGUUACGUUAUUGGAAUUUACAUCCCUCCUCCAUAAGAAAAAAGACAUUAUCUUCUCUUCCAAAUGUCCACCAUGCUAAUUUUAUCUCUUUCUUAUUAUAUUUAACUUUAAAAAUCUUGAUCAUUAUAAUUGCUGUGGGUCGUAUAUUCACUGUGAAUAUUCUGUGAGAGAUGACAGUUUUAUUCUUAAUAACCUGCAUAUUAAGAAUUGCCAUGCCUUUUUCAUGAUUAGUGUUCAAUCCACAUGUUAAAAGAAUGAAAAAUGCAUUACUGAAUUAUCUUAUAUUACCCUUUUUUGCAGAAUCAUUCUUUGUAGUGUUAGUGAAAUAUGCCGAAUAUUAAAAUAGGAACCAAACUUUUUAUAAAAUGCUGCCUCUGCUGUCUCACAAUGCCUAAUGCUACCUCUAAACGAUAGUUAUUAUUCUUUUCUGUCAUAUAAAGAAACAUAGUCAUGCCAAUUGGUUUUCUGCCACUAUAUAUCCAGUGGGAAUCACACAGAGAAUCAAUUCAUUACAAUGAUAAAUUACACCAUUAAAUAGUAUAUUAUGCCAGAAUAAUCUAGAAGGUCAUGAAAGAAAGAUUAAGAGAUGACAAGAGAAUCUACAAUGUGUAAGAAAGUGCAUGAUACAUGAAAAAAUAGGUUUUGGUUUGAUAUCUACCAAAUAUGUUAAAUGAAUAUAUAACCCUGUAAAAAUUGAAAAAUUACAUACUUGUAAAA
This 797-nucleotide long non-coding RNA is filed under the name Homo sapiens (human). Its description in RNAcentral is "novel transcript". The record is from RNAcentral. Lineage: Eukaryota; Metazoa; Chordata; Mammalia; Primates; Hominidae.